This 559-nucleotide long non-coding RNA is filed under the name Anser brachyrhynchus (Pink-footed goose). RNAcentral's name for it is "lncRNA (ENSABRG00000011938.1)". Lineage: Eukaryota; Metazoa; Chordata; Aves; Anseriformes; Anatidae. The record is from RNAcentral.
UGAUACCAUGUCCAUAGGGAAAUCUUUGUGAUAAGAAAUGAAAACAGCAAGAUUCAAAGAAAGCCAGGCACCUUUGUAAAGACUUGAAGGAAAUUGGGUCAUUAAAACACUCUUCAGGCUUUCAAGAGGUAUGGGGGAGACCAGAAUAGUGCAUGUGCAAUGUCUGUAUUAAGUCUUAAGAAGGCCAAUAAUCCUUUUGGUGCACAGAAGUGAAUAUCACCCACCUGGAGAAAAGUCUGCAAUACAGUCAGAGUCUGCCCUGCAGCUUCUUCACAGGGACCAGAGAACAGAAGAUUAAUGCUGCUAAUUUCAGUUAUGUGAAAACUGUGAGCUGAUAAAGGACCUGGAUGUUUUUCUAAAGCAAAUAUUAAUAGCAGAAAAAGGAAUAUUCCUAUCCUGUGGUGGAAAUAAUUGUGUCAGUAAUCUCACCAUGCUGCUUUAAAUGAGUUUGCAUCAUUUCAUGCAGUAUCAUACUGCAGACAUUUGAUCAUCUAUAACAUGAUGAUGGAAUGAUGAAAAAGAAGGCUAAAUUAAUAUCCUAGAUACAGUGACACUGGUA